GAUGAACGCUGGCGGCGUGCCUAAUACAUGCAAGUCGAGCGAACAGACGAGGCGCUUGCUCCUUUGACGUUAGCGGCGGACGGGUGAGUAACACGUGGAUAACCUACUUAUAAGACUGGGAUAAUUUCGGGAAACCGGAGAUAAUCCCGGAUAAUAUAUUGCACCGCAUGGUUCAUUAGUGAAAGACGGUUUUGCUGUCACUUAUAGAUGGAUCCGCGCUGCAUUGGCUAGUUGGUAAGGUAACGGCUUACCAAGGCAACGAUGCGUAGCCGACGUGACAGGGUGGUCGGCCACACGGGAGCGUGGACGCGGUCCAUGCGCCUGCGGGAGGCAGCAGUAGGGAAUCUGCCGCAGUAGUCGAAAGUCUGACGGAGCAACGGCGCGUGAGUGAUGAAGGUCUUGGGAUCGUAAAACUCUGUUAUUAGGGAAGAACAAAUGUGGAAGUAACUAUGCACGUCUUGACGGUACCGAAUCAGAAAGCCACGGCUAACUACGUG
RNAcentral lists this ribosomal RNA (497 nucleotides) under uncultured bacterium. RNAcentral's name for it is "partial 16S ribosomal RNA". It matches the Rfam family "Bacterial small subunit ribosomal RNA", at positions 28 to 507 of the family's 1533-position model. The record is from RNAcentral.